UAGGACGGCCAUAGCUACCUGGUUCCACCUGUUCCCAUCUCGAACACAGCAGUUAAACAGGUACACGUUCCAAUUGGUACUGCAUUUUAUGUGGGAAGAUUGGUUAGCUGUCCACU
Molecule: ribosomal RNA, 116 nt
Filed under: Candidatus Woesearchaeota archaeon
Lineage: Archaea; Nanobdellati; Candidatus Woesearchaeota
Source: RNAcentral